This 547-nucleotide ribosomal RNA is filed under the name uncultured bacterium. RNAcentral describes it as "bacterial SSU rRNA". It matches the Rfam family "Bacterial small subunit ribosomal RNA", at positions 355 to 896 of the family's 1533-position model. The record is from RNAcentral.
UGGGGAAUAUUGCACAAUGGGGGGAACCCUGAUGCAGCCAUGCCGCGUGAAUGAAGAAGGCCUUCGGGUUGUAAAGUUCUUUCGGUGACGAGGAAGGUUGAUAGGUUAAUAGCCUAUCAAAUUGACGUUAAUCACAGAAGAAGCACCGGCUAACUCCGUGCCAGCAGCCGCGGUAAUGCGGGGGGUGCGAGCGUUAAUCGGAAUAACUGGGCGUAAAGGGCACGCAGGCGGUGACUUAAGUGAGAUGUGAAAGCCCCGAGCUUAACUUGGGAAUUGCAUUUCAUACUGGGUCGCUAGAGUACUUUAGGGAGGGGUAGAAUUCCACGUGUAGCGGUGAAAUGCGUAGAGAUGUGGAGGAAUACCGAAGGCGAAGGCAGCCCCUUGGGAAUGUACUGACGCUCAUGUGCGAAAGCGUGGGGAGCAAACAGGAUUAGAUACCCUGGUAGUCCACGCUGUAAACGAUGUCGAUUUGGGGAUUGGGCUUUGAGCUUGGUGCCCGUAGCUAACGUGAUAAAUCGACCGCCUGGGGAGUACGGCCGCAAGGUUA